Molecule: long non-coding RNA, 975 nt
Filed under: Mytilus galloprovincialis (Mediterranean mussel)
Lineage: Eukaryota; Metazoa; Mollusca; Bivalvia; Mytilida; Mytilidae
Source: RNAcentral
AAAAAAGAUCGGUCUUUCUUCUUCCAGUCGGAAUACCCUCGGAGUGGAUUCGAAAAUCCCGUGCGGUUCCCUGUUCAGUCAACGUUUCAUCAUGAUCUAGUGUGGUGAAAAGGAACCAGUUGAAAGGCGGUUCCCUGUUCAGUCAACGUUUCAUCAUGAUCUAAUGCAGUGAAAAGGAACCAGUUGAAAAUGGAGGACCAGAUACGAUUUUACAAUACGUACUUGUAAAGACUAAAGACUACGUACUUAGAUUUACCCAUUAAUUGUUGGAGAUUUUCGGUGUAAAUCUAGCGGUUGAACAAAUUGAACAUCGCAGUCAUGAAUAAUAAAAAUGAAAAUUAUUUUUGAGAUCGUUUGGGUAUUUUGGUUUAAAAGGUCGGACCAUCGCUAGUUUGAACCCACAGGCACUUGUUUCUAGAAGUUCUAUUUAUAUGGAUAGUCGACCUUCCUAUGGAUAGAAACCAGUGCCCGUGUUUGAAAUCCCUGUUUCAGACAGUCAGUGAGGUUGACGGCGGGUCAACUUUGGUUCAAGUGUUGAUCAGAAAGUCUGAGACCCGUUGAAAGGGGCUGUUUUAGUUCCAUUACAGGUACUAGUCCAAAUAAUUAUGACGUCUGGCAAGGCUUCCUGGCAUCCCAGAUUUGUUUUUAAAUAGCCUUGCCAGACGUCACUAAAGGGAAGGAUCUUUUAACUUGCUGCCAGGGAUGGGUGUCAUUAAUUGGCCUUAUUAUAUAAAUACCUUCCCACGGUACCCAUUAAGAUUUAAUGGAACAGAGAUGGGGUAUGGUGAACAAUAUCCCAACACAAAAUCAGAACAUGUAUUACUGUCAUAGAAUGCAGGACAAUUAAAAUCACUUCAACAUUUAUAAAAAGGGACAAUCACAGGACACUUCGAGAUAUAAGCUAAUACUUAUAGCAGUGUAAAAUAGCAUAAAAAGCCUAAAAAGGACAUGUUUUCAUGUACCACAUAUGAAGGC